AUGGAGAGACUUGUUAAUGUUCAUUACAUUGACAAGGAGGCAUUCUUGAGUAAUAAUGCCGACACGGGUGAGGAACUAUUGGUUUUUGAUACAAGCCCUAGCUAUGAGGAUGUUGUUGCAAAAGUGAGACAAGUCUUGAAGUGGAUGGAAACCAAUGUUGAUGUUAAGUUAAUAGGAAGGUAUGAUGUUGGAGUUGGAGCCAAAUCUCGCUUGAAAAGUAUGCCUAUCACCUCGGAUUUGCAUUGGGAUGUAUACAAGGAAAAAGUAUCCCAAUCGGAAGACAAGUCACUUGAAUUGUUUGCCACCAAGGUUGAAUCUCCUCGGUUUACCUUUGAUUUGAACCGGCAUGUCUCUUCCCCAAUGGAUGCAAAUGAGGUUGAGUUGUAUGCCCCCAAUGCUUCUAGCCAACCACCAACUAGCCAA
Molecule: ribosomal RNA, 423 nt
Filed under: Triticum aestivum (bread wheat)
Lineage: Eukaryota; Viridiplantae; Streptophyta; Magnoliopsida; Poales; Poaceae
Description: partial small subunit ribosomal RNA
Source: RNAcentral